UUAAAUGAAAGUUGACUUAUGUGGGAUAGCUUGGCACUUAGAAGCGAAGAAGGGCGUAGUAACUGACGAUAUGCUUUGGGGAACAAGAAACAAGUUUUUAUCCAAAGAUCCCCGAAUAGGGUAACCUAAUAAACAUUUAUCAAUAAUUUAGAUUUUUGUAGGCAACUCGGUGAACUGAAACAUCUCAGUAGCCGAAGGAAAAGAAAGCAAAAGCGAUUUUCUUAUUAGUGGCGAGCUAAACGAAAACAGCCUAAACCGUUUUCGGUGUAGUGGGAGUACUUUUGUAUCAAAUUGUUUAACCUGAAAUUGUUGAAUGCAAUAUCAUAGAAGGUUGGAAAUCCUGUAAGGUUUUGUAAAUUUGUAAUAGUAUUAUCCCGAGUAGCAUAGAGCACGUGUAAUUCUGUGUGAAUCAGCGAGGACCACCUCGUAAGGCUAAAUAUUCCUAAGUGACCGAUAGUGAACUAGUACCGUGAGGGAAAGCUGAAAAGAACACUGAAAAGUGAGUGAAAUAGACCUUGAAAGCAUAUGUUUACAAGCAGUGGGAGAUCUAUAUAAAGAUUGACCGCGUGCCUGUUGAAGAAUGAGCCGGCGACUUAUAGGCAGUGGCUUGGUUAAGGUUUUUAUUCUGGAGCCAUAGUGAAAGCGUGCUUUAAUAGAGCAAUUUCAGUCACUGUUUAUAGACCCGAACCCGGGUGAUCUAAUCAUGACCAGGAUGAAGCUUGGGUAAUACUAAGUUGAAGACCGAACCCACCAAUGUUGAAAAAUUGGGGGAUGAGUUGUGAUUAGGGGAGAAAUUCCAAUCGAACUCGGAGCUAGCUGGAUCUCUUCGAAAUGCGUUGAGGCGCAGCAGUUGAUUAUGAUACGUUUAGGGGUAAAGCACUGUUUCGACAAGGGCUAUGAUGAGUAGUACUAAGUUGUAGCAAACUCUGAAUACUAAACUAAAUUUCAAUUAACUAGUGAGACAGUGGGGGAUAAGCUUCAUUGUCAAGAGGGAAACAGCCCAGAUCACCACUUAAGGCCCCUAAGUAACUACUAAGUGACAAAGGAUGUAUUAGUACAUAGACAACCAGGAGGUUGACUUAGAAGCAGUAACCCUUUAAAAAGUGCGUAAUAGCUUACUGGUCAAGUGCUUUUGCGCCGAAAAUGAAUGGGACUAAGUAGUUUGCCGAAAGUGUGAGAUAAUAUCGGUAGAAGAGCGUUUUGUAUUAGUUAGAAGCAGUAGUGAAAACAGCUGUGGACUAUUCAGAAGUGAGAAUGUUGGCUUAAGUAACGAAAACAUUGGUUGAAAUCCAAUGCCCCGAAAACCUAAGGAUUCCUUCGCAAGGUUCGUCCACGAAGGGUUAGUCAGGACCUAAAGCGAGGUUUAACAGCGUAGUUGAUGGAUAACAGGUUAAUAUUCCUGUACUAUUUUUAAUUUAAUUAUGAGUGACAAAAAAGGCUAUACCAUCCAAAGACUGGUUGUUUUGGUUUAAUUUUACAAGGCUAGGAGAAGCAUUACAAAAAAUGUUUUGAGCUAAGUUCAGAGUACGAGAGAUAUUACGGUAUCAAAAGUGGUUCAUGUCAUGUUUUCAAGAAAAACUCUAGUAAUAUACAAUUAAAAAUACCUGUACCUUAAAUUGACACAGAUAGGAAAGUAGAGAAUACUAAGGGGCGCGAGAUAACUCUUUCUAAGGAACUCGGCAAAAUAACUCUGUAACUUCGGGAGAAAGAGUGCCUCUGCAAAGAGGUCGCAGUGAUCAGGUCCAAGCGACUGUUUAUCAAAAACACAGGUCUCCGCUAAGUUGAAAAACUAUGUAUGGGGGCUGACGCCUGCCCAGUGCCAGAAGGUUAAAGAAAUUGGUUAGCUAACGCGAAGCUGGUGACUGAAGCCCUGGUGAACGGCAGCCGUAACUAUAACGGUUCGAAGGUAGCGAAAUUCCUUGUCGGGUAAGUUCCGACCCGCACGAAAGGCGUAACGAUUUGGAUACUGUCUCAGAAAGAGACUCGGUGAAAUAGAAUUGACUGUGAAGAUGCGGUCUACUUGCACUUGGACAGAAAGACCCUAUGAAGCUUUACUGUAACUUGAGAUUGGUUUUGGGCUUUUUUUGCGCAGUAUAGGUGGGAGGCUUUGAACUUAUUUUUCGGAAGAAAGUGAGCCACAAUGUGAGAUACCACUCUGAAAAAGUUAAAAAUCUAAUAGUAUUUUAUCAAAAUACUUGACAGUUUCAGGCGGGCAGUUUUACUGGGGCGGUAGCCUCCUAAAAGGUAACGGAGGCGUACAAAGGUUUUCUCAGUCUGGACGGAAAUUAGUUGCAGCGUGUAAAGAUAAAAGUAAGCUUGACUGUGAGACUCAAAAGUCGAGCAGAGACUAAAGUCGGUCUUAGUGAUCCGACGGUGCUGAGUGGAAAGGCCGUCGCAUAACUGAUAAAAGUUACUCUAGGGAUAACAGGCUGAUCUCCCCCAAGAGUUCACAUCGACGGGGAGGUUUGGCACCUCGAUGUCGGCUCAUCGCAACCUGGGGCGGUAGUACGUCCCAAGGGUUGGGCUGUUCGCCCAUUAAAGCGGUACGUGAGCUGGGUUCAGAACGUCGAGAGACAGUUCGGUCCAUAUCCGGUGUGAGUGUUAGAGUAUUGAAAGGAGCUUUCCUUAGUACGAGAGGACCGGGAAGGAUACACCACUGAUGUACCAGUUUUUGUGCCAACAGAAUACGCUGGGUAGUUAAGUGUAGAGUGGAUAACUGCUGAAAGCAUAUAAGUAGGAAGCCCACCUUAAGAUGAGUACUCUUUUUUAAGGUCACGACUAGACUAGUCGUUAGAUAGGUAUUAGGUGUACGGUUAGUAAUAACUUUAGCCGAGAUAUACUAACAGACCGAACGUUUUAUCCUA
RNAcentral lists this ribosomal RNA (2864 nucleotides) under Euglena archaeoplastidiata. RNAcentral describes it as "bacterial LSU rRNA". It matches the Rfam family "Bacterial large subunit ribosomal RNA". Lineage: Eukaryota; Euglenozoa; Euglenophyceae; Euglenales; Euglenaceae. The record is from RNAcentral.